Gasterosteus aculeatus aculeatus (three-spined stickleback) is the source of this 10847-nucleotide long non-coding RNA. The record is from Ensembl. NCBI's taxonomy places the organism in Eukaryota, Metazoa, Chordata, Actinopteri, Perciformes, Gasterosteidae.
UGCACAAAGUGCGGAGGGGGGCGGGGGGCUUCGGGGGACUUUAGACAGCAAGUUAAUCUGUAUCUCCCUGAUCUUACCGCCUGUCCGUCAAUCCAAGUGAAACAACGUAGGUGUAAUUUAGCAUGACGGCCUUCUGGGGGCAGCCGGGGUGAAGAGUUCACCGAGUGUGCGUCUGUGUGUGUGUGUGUGUGUGUGUGUGACUGAGGUACAGCAGCAGUCGGACUCAUAAUAUUUGUGGUGCAUUUAUGCAUAUUGGCAGAACUCGUCAUGACGGUAAGGACAGCGUCUGAGAGUUUGCCAAACACAGCAGCGAUUGUUCAGACUUGGGCAUCGAGAGGUCAAGUAACCGGAGGCACAAGCAUCUCCAUUCAAAGCAACAGAACUUCUUUUAUCCAGAUCCAAAACCCCGUCACAUUGGACCUACUGUCUCUUACUUACUGUGAGCUGACACUAAGAGAAUGUCUUUUGACAACGGUGAACAGGACUAAAAGCAGGAGGAUGACCUGGAGGGAGGGAGGGAGGGAUGGGGGGAUGGGAGGGGGGGGCAGAAAGGCAGAACAGAGCGAAGCCGCAGAGACUCGGGUGUGAUAAUGGAUUCCCACAUUAGGUCCUUGAAGGUCUGAUGAUGAAUGGGACGUGGCAGCGCCGCAUGGCCCCCAGAAGCAGAAGAUCUCUGUGCUUGGCGGUGGGCGCUCGGUCAGGAGGGAGGAGAGCGGGGGGGGGAGGGAGGGAGGGGUUGUUGAGUUGGGAGGAUUUGGGAGACAACCCCCCCACAGAUCACAGUGUGGAGUGGAAACACAUGGUUUCAAUGUGCAGCUCGUCGCGGCGGCGGCCACAAUUUUGCAGCUCUGGAAUUACUCAAUGGUUGAAAAUCACAAGAUUUCAACAUUUACUUCACACACCCUCCUUGUGUGUCUGUGUGUGCGUCUGUGUGUGCGUCUGUGUGUGUGUGCGUGAGCUGAAUUCCUGUAGAGUUCAUGAGCAACGAUGACUAAGAGCCCCUCGGUUUGAAAACCCUAAAUUACCUGCGAGGGGCGCGGAGACAGCAGCGACCUCGGAAGCUCUGCUGAGGACUUCAAACCAGCCGGGAGCUGCUUCAUGCAGGGAGGGGGGCAGAGUGGGGGGGGGGGGGGCGCAUUCAGACAGUAAAUUAAACCAUUUCACGAGCAAACAAUGACACAAUUUGUAAGUCAGUUUCUACCAAAGCCGACCGGUAUGAGUUAUGAGUUAUUCACACACACACACACACACACACAUGCACAGACACACACAACGUGCACAGACACACACAACGGCCACGCUAAUGUGCGGGAUGGAAUCCAGGUGGACGCAGCGGUCCUCCUUCGCUCCCAGCAGGCCGUUGGGGUUGAAAAGGUGAAAACAAGCAAAGACCUUAAGACGAGAGACGUUGACCUUUGGAUUGUGUUUGUUGGUCGACGCUCAGGCGUGAGCCCCAAGCCCCAGGGCAUGCUGGGAGUUUAACCAGGGGCAGGAGGUCACUGGGACGGGCAGCAGAGCAACAGAGGGUUAGAAUGGGGGGGCGUGAGAGGGGGGCAGCUUUUUUAUUUGCCCCAUGAUAAUUAUUUUUCCAUUUAAAACCAAUUAUGAAUCUCAGCCUUUGAUCUUCUGAUGCAGGAAAUAAGUCAAUUUACACUCAAGUUCCUUCCUAUUUUAUUUUGUAUUUAUACUCCACUAAAUCUAAGAGGUAAAUAUCGAUCUGACGAUGUUGAUGCUGAAUGUUUGUGAUGAACUGAAGGAUAAAGUGUUCCUUCUGUAAAGAGCCUCUGGAAACGUUUGUUCUUCUUAGAGAGCUCAUAGAAUCCGAUGCAUAGAUGUAGAAUAAACUAAACAAAGGAGGUCAAAUGCUACAUAUUGAUACAUAUUAAUCCAGAAAUAUUUAAACCUACGCUUUUAAAGGCAGGACAUUUACUAGCAGUAUGUGUGGUAUUCCUACUUUUACUCCACCAUCUGAAUACUUCUCCCACCGCUGCUGGUCUCCCCACAGCGGUUCUACAAUCUGGAGAAAACCUUCAGCUUCUCUCUCUUCUCUCUAGAACGGACAUCAGCUGAGCAGGUGGUGGGCGAGGACGGAGGACCGCUCCUCUUCUGGGCCGAUCCGCCUCGAGAAGGGAGCCAGAAGGCUGGCCUUUGACGCGCCGACAGCUCGCCGUGAGUGACGUGUGAUCCGUACGAAUUUCAGGACUAAUAAAUCCACCUGUCAGGGGAAGGAGACUUGAAAGGGCCGCCGCCCCGCGGCCGGGCUUAAACGCAACCGCUGUUGAUGAAAUUCUGCAGGCUUGCGGAAUUACAGCUGUCAGGAGAAAACGCCCACGUCAGAUCUGACGCCGGCUGCCUCCCUAACCUGUUCUCUGUCUCGCACUUCCUCCCCCCUCCCUCCCACCUACUUCCUCCCCUUUGUUUCUAACUGCAGAAUAUGUGUGACAUUAACUCGCCGUGGGAAUCGUCAUUUCACCGGCGGGGAAAUAUUCCUCUAAAUCCCCCUGUUAGUUCUUUCUCUCUCGCCACGAAGCACGAGGUUAAAUCACGUCGCACACAGCUGCUCUGCUUUUCCAUUUCACGGCGCCUCUAUUCCCUCCUCGCCGCUUUGAAGUUGGGGCUGGACUUUAGCCAGUGAGAGACAUAUUCACUGCCGCUGCGUGACAGCUAUAAACACAGUCUGAGGAGAGAAAGGCAUAAACCAGUCGAGCGUGUGCUCGCCGUAUUUACGGGUAAACGGGUGGAAAAGCCAUCGCUCUCUGUAAUCUGUCAUAACGGGGAUUUGCGGCGGUGCGACGCGAGGACCCCGUCCUCCCCGUCUCAUGCAGACAGACUUCGUGGGGUCACGCGGCGAUUCCACGUCAAUGGACACGGGAAUCAAUGUGGAAAAUGCUCACGGAAACUAUUAAUUUUAAAAUUUUAUUAAUUCCUGCUUUUACCUGAAUGAGAACCUGAAUUCAGACGGCGCUUUUGGCUAAAUGCUAACGACGCUUCGGCUAACAGGAAGUAUACUGAAAUAAAGGUAGAAAUACUACAGCCAAGAGAUACUCUGUUAGUUUUCCCUGUGCAGUUUAUAAUAACUUAUAUUGUAGUAUUAUUGAUGCUAACGUGAGCUAAUAUUGACUUAGCACGGCUGAGGUUUAUCGGCAGCUGAGCAGAUGUUACGAUAUUUCUUUAAAUGAAGUGGAACAACAUCUUAAAUUUAGUCUGCGUAUCAGGCAGAUCAAAGCUGGUGGCAGUUUGCAGUUUGCUUUAUUUGACUGACUGCUUGGAAUAACGUCUUGGAAGUUAAACUUAAUGGAACAUUUGUGCGGUCGGCUGUUUCAUUCUUUCUGCAGAGCCCUUCGCAUCCGAUUUGUCACGGGCCGCGCUUUGUGAAGAGGCAACGCCACUUAUUAAAAAAACAAAUAAAAAAAAACACCGACAGCGUCGAGUUCAUCCAGUACAACAAUUUACGUUCCACUCAAACAGCCUGUCGCGUUCCCACAGCUGAACGCCGGGACGGGACAAAGGGAAGAAGGGGGGAAAAAGUCCCGGGCAGCAGUUAGAAAAAAGGAGGGAGGGCGGCGGAGCGGGAGAGAGGGAGCGCUCCGGGGUCCGUCCUUCACUUCCACAUCUGGCCCUGAUAUUUCAGAGUUAAUUAGUCAUGCAGGGGUUGUGUGUAGAUAAAUCUAUCAUCCCGCCCUGCGCAAACCAUUUGAGAAAUGAAAGGAAGUGAGCAGAUACACGCAGUCCGAGCUCCUUCAUAAAUCACGGGCCCAGAUUAAAAACAGGCACUGCGGUGACGAGGGGGGAGGGAACAGGAAGGGGCGGAGCCUGGACCGUCCCGCACAAUAGCACACUGUCGUUCCGCCACAUGCGCUUACCGGAUGAUGUAUAAGUAUAUACAUCUAUAUAUAUUUCUGGAUGCUGGGUCUCCGACCUCAAAAUCUAUGGCGGCUUUGGUAAGAUGCUCAACAACGUGUUACAUUGUUGCAGUAAUAUAUAAACAAUAAGAAAACAGCCAAAAGCAUAUGGCACAGCAUGGAGAGUAUAUACAUACAUAUAUAUAGAUUUAACCCCCCGCGACCCCGGCGUUGUUGAAUGUUUACGCGGUGAAGAACAAACUCACUGGCAGGCGCGUUACUUGUGAGCGGACGGCGGACGGCGUCUCACUCAGCGGAGGAAGGCGGAGGUCACGAGGAAGAGGAAGAAGAAGAGGACUUUGGAGUGAGAAGAAAGGCCGCUCUGGGUGUGUGUGAGUGUGUUGGGAGAGCCGAGGGAGCAUCGCUGUGCUUACAGGAAUAAAAGCAAAUGGAUUAAAAGAUGUUUUUUGGUUCUUUAUGUGAACGAGAGAAGGAAUAAUAAUAAUAAUAAUAAGUGCUGCAGGAGGUCACUGCUAUUUAAAAAGAAGCUCCCUGCAGCUUUGAAUUGUUUUAAUUGGAUUUUCUCAAAAUGACACAGAUGCGUAAACUACAUGACAGUUGAGAGUCGAUGGGCUGAACUUUAAAUCACCUCCAGGUUUAAUUUAGGGUUUAGGAUUUAUGGAUUUAGAGGGUUUACGAUGGGGUGAGGGUGAAGGUUAUGAGAGGGACAAGGUCAGAGGUCAAGGCGGGGAAAGUGCUGAGUAUUAGCAGGAAUGUGUGUGUUCCAGGAGACGAUACGGUCUCCAAAGAGCUCGCAAACAUCGAGAAAUUUAAUAUAAAAAGGGCUUACAACUAAAUACGUAAGGAGGAACAGUCCGAUAGCUGCUGAGGGAUCAUAGAUAUGCACUUCAUACUUCAUACCACCAGAUUAAAGACAAUAUAUACAUGUAUAAAUAACAGCUGCAUCUACCUUCACCUCGUAAAAUCCUGCUUGCACAUUGAUGUCAGAGUGAUCUAAUAUUGUGUAAUUUAAUGACACAUAAUGUGUUUUAAAGAUCAUCGUUUUUUUUUAUCUCUGCUGCUUUGCAAAGUCCAGAUCGCGUCGCGUUUUUGUUCCAACGCGGCGUCCAGACUGGACAUGUGAGGCAGUCGAUAGCCAUCUGACCAGGAAACACUAAAUCACAGAAACCGCAGGGGGGCUACAGGCAGGGAGAAGGGGGGGGGGGGGGGGGGGGUGUAAAUCACACAUUACAAAGACCCUGCUGAAAGCUCAGGAACAUCGGUCCACCGUGACAUCGUUCCUCGCAGGCUGCCUUCAAAGCCGGCUCGGACAGGAAGCCCUCAUUCCCAGCUGAGAGGUGCAGCGGAAAAGUCCUGUUUGGAUGUGUUCGUCCUUCCCAAGGACGUGUGACUCCAUUGUGACGGCGCUCGGCGAGCUGAUGAAAAGAGAUCGCCGCGGCACAGGAACCGCAUUCGCGCCCGCGUGACCUCUGACCCGCACAAAGCUGUUGUCGUGGCGACAGCGAUGAUGGGUUUGUUGGUGUCAGGGUUGGUUUGGUUGCAAAGUAAAACAAAGGAAGACAAAGGAGUUUUUUCCAAACUAUCAACAGCUCUCUUGUCACCAGGGUGUGUUCUAGUUUGUGCGUGUGUUUGACCUUAUUGUGUAUUCACUUGGUAUUAAGGCAGCUGUAGUUCAUAUUUUAUAACCAUUUACAGGACCUUUCGUAUCUAAAAACUCUUUUAUCUUGUUAUCUAAUAAGACGAAGCGGCUCUACACACUGGUGCCUUGAGCUAAAUGCAAACACUCAGUUCUCACGCUCAAUAUUCGCUAAUUAUUUCUUAAGUUACUCUGUUUAUAACUUUGAUUUGACCCCAUGGGGUCGAUAAUCUGUUUUUUGCAACAACAACAACGCGUCAGAUUGCCAUGAAUUUGGGUCUGAAUCCCCGAGGAGGCUCUGUGAGACUGAUCAACAGCAGGAGGAGGACCAAAAUUACAGGUCAUAGUUAGUGAGGUGUUUAAGUUUAAGGGAAGUUUAAUCCACGUUAAAAAAGAGCUCGAGUCCUACAGGCUGAUUUUUUUUCUGGCAACGACCAGUCGAGUGUUGUCGAGGAGUCAGCCUCACCUGCUCCGCCUGUCACUCAGCGGUUGCCACAGCGAGUCGGCUGACACUUCGCCGACGCGGCGCUGCCAAAGUUCGCCCGCCGCGUCAAUCAUUCGCCUCUUCUUCCUCGGAGCGCCAAAGAAGUUGACGUCUCUGUAAGAUAUAAAAAAGCAAGCGUUGAUUUGUUUCAUUCAGGCUGUAAUUUCAGACCAGUGCAGAUUGCUGCGAAUACCUGGUGGUGGUGGGGAUGUUGGUGGAUGUGGUGUAGGUGGUGGUGAUGCUGGUGAUGCUGGUGGAUUUGGUGGAGGUGGUGGUGGUGGUGAUGCUGGUGGAGGUGAUGUUGGUGGAUUUGGUGGAGGUGGUGGUGGUGAUGUUGGUGGAUUUGGUGGAGGGGGUGGUGGUGAUGUUGGUGGAUUUGGUGGAGGUGGUGAUGGUGGUGGUGAUGUUGGUGGAUUUGGUGGAGGUGGUGGUGGUGAUGUUGGCGGAGGUGGUGAUGCUGGUGGAGGUGAUGUUGGUGGAUUUGGUGGAGGUGGUGGUGAUGUUGGUGGAUUUGGUGGAGGUGGUGGUAAUGCUGGUGGAGGUGAUGUUGGUGGAUUUGGUGGAGGUGGUGGUAAUGCUGGUGGAGGUGAUGUUGGUGGAUUUGGUGGUGGUGGUGGUGAUGUUGGUGGUGGUGGUGAUGGUGAUGGUGGUGAUGCUGGUGGAGGUGAUGCUGGUGGAGGUGAUGUUGGUGGAUUUGGUGGUGGUGGUGAUGCUGGUGGAGGCGAUGGCGCUGGUGGUGAUGCUCAUUUGGGUGCGUUUGAUUUGCCACCUCUCCGGGAUGCAUUAAGUGAACAUGAACCCCAUUAGCCCCGGAUCACCGGACUUGUUAGCAGCAGCACCUUCUGCAAUAACUUACAGCGCUUUCCUCUGGACAGAACGUGCUCCUUGUAGAGCGUAAUGGAAGUAAUCCAUCCUCCCUGUCAGUGCUGGAAAACACUUUGUUUUCUGUACAAAUGGUGUUUGGGUGGAAGUCGCUGGUUGGGGGUGGAGGUGUUUGGGAGGGGCAGGACAUUCUUCUGCUGUGUAUGUCUCACAUGCGCAGGUUUUGAGGGCAGAGGGAGUGAACGCAGUGAAGUCUGUUCCAUAUAUUCACCACGGCAUUAAAGUACAGAUAGAGAAGGUUAAACAGGAUAUAUUAACAAUGGGUAUAUAAAACGGAAAUAAUAAUAAUAAAAUAUAAAAUAUACAUCUGCAUUUGGCGACGAUUAACAGAUAUGAAAGUAUCAUUAUAAAAUAUAAUUAUGUUGUAGGAAUCCCAAGAAACGUGUUGUAAAAGCGCUUAAAGACAACUUCACUUCCCCAACAUGAGUCGAGCUCUCAUUAUACUGGAUCCCAUAAUAACCCCGAGGGCAUCAUUACGUUUAUGAGGAAUUAUAAGAUCCCGGUUGACAUUUCAAUGUUUAAUACUUAAAGUUUACCAAACCACAUGAAAGAGGUCCUCACACUGCUGCUUCACACUCUGCUGGUGAACAACAGCAGCUUUGAUGCAAGUCGAGCAUCUGAUAACUCCUCUCACGGUAAAUACCCUUUUCUGCUGGUUGGGGCAGUUAACUCUAUUAAACAUCUGCUGAGUGUUAUGGCGGCUCGUACCGAUAUCAGUGAAUAUAUCCAUUUAGCUCAAGCAGUAACCGUAAUGGCGUUAAUGUCCAUAUCUGCUGGAGCUUUUCUUCAGUCUAUUUCCAAAGAUAUCGUUCAUUCCGACCGUAUUAAAGCUCUCAGUGUGGAGACCAGUUUGUACAGGAAAUGAUGAACUACCUCCUGGAAAUUAAAGCAAGGCCAAAUACCACAUUUCAGCCUGGAAUGUAAUUUAUAGUCAGUUAAACAACAUUUGCUUACAAGAAAAACACCUUUUGAUUCGUAGACUCUUUUGCCGUUGCUUUAAUUUUAAUUAUUUUGGGCUAACUUUGUUUGUAUUCCAACUUUCAAAUCAAAGCACAACCAAAAAAACAUAAAUUUUUCUUCCAUCCUUCUCCCACUUACCUCCUCCUCUUUCUCACAUCUACCUACUCUCCCCCCUCAUUCCUCCCAACUGCAUCUCCCUCAGCCCCCACAGGCCCCUCCAUAAAUCCUGGGACAGCAGCGCUUUAAUGGAUAAUUAAUUGAUGCCGCUGCAGCACUGUAAUAAGACAAUAAAUUACGACACAGGGCGGUGUGCUGUGUCAGUGUGUGUUGCUAAUGGCCCUUCAGGGCCGGGGCAGGAGGCUAAUAAAUUAGACAGGUAUUAACUGUUGUGUGCUAAGUAGCCCUCCACCGCAGAAUGCCAUGAGCGCCGAACGGGGAAGCAAGAACAAGACAAGGAUGAAUUUAAAGUGAAAUUAAAAACUGUUUUUGACAAGAAAUCUGUACAUUUCCAAUUGUGUGAUUUUGUUAAAAGUUUUCAUUAUUUUUCUGAAGCAGUGGAGCCACAAAUUUGUAAUUCGUCAUUUGGUUCGGUUGGUAUCGAGCACUAAAACCAAUCCGUCACUUCAGGUGCAACGACCUCACACGUAGGAGCUAAAUGCUAACGCCAGCAUGCUAACACGCUCAUAAAUGACCAUGGGUCAACUUUAGCGGUAUUUUAGCGCGCUUGAUGUUCACCACUUUGACCGCGCGGGUUUAGCUUGCUAGCAUGUUAGCAUUGGCUAAUCAGCGCCAAACGCAAAAAUUGGUUUCACAGGUAUUCGAGUUACAAACAGGACAUUUUGACCUGACCAUUGCGAUGCAAACUUAAUACAAUAAUUCUUCAAUAUGGCAACAUAAAUAAAAAAGAACGCUUCAGCAGUUUAGACCAUCGACCUCUAGAUCGGUUGGAUAAAACGCCGCGGCCUCGCCGGUGUGAAGCUCUCACCGCGCUGAGCGUAAAGGAUCGUGCCGCUUUCCCAAAGAGGGAAAUCCCAGCUUAGCAAACGAGGCCAACGCCUCCCGCUCGGGAAACGUGGAAUUUUCGGCAGAUAGCCUCUAAUCCCAUUUUAAUGGUUGUCUGAUUAAGAGGUGAGAAGGAUUAGGGCGCGACUGUGUUGCGCGGUAAACAUUCACCACGUACGCGCCGGCUUGCGAGGCGCCGGUGGAAAAUUACUUAUACGGGAGAAACAAAGAGAAAGGGACAAAUCUCAGGGAUUAGGAGUGAGCAUGAAGAGGAAGAGAAACGACGGCUCAGUUCUGUCGUUCCAAUUAAAAAUGCUGCAAAUCUCUCAUCUCCUAAUGUUGGCCCUAACGAGCGUGACUCGCUGGCAGUUAUGCAGAUAAAAACUCCUCCUGAUUGAUUCCACCCGCACGUCCAAAUUAGUUUCACUCCAGCUUAUUGAUCACAACCCGCCGGUUGCAAACCGUUGAUUAAUAACGAUAAUAAAAGUGCAAUAGAUUGUUGGAAUCAACCACACGAGGCUGAACAACGUGAGAGUUUUCCCAGCUCGCAUCUGAAAACGUGUAAAUAUUGAUCUUGUAGUCUCUAUUAAAUCUUUCACUUCCGGUUCCCCUCAAAGUCGCAGGUGUUUUUGAGUCUGAAGAUGUCUGAAAGGUGGCUGCUUGAGGCAAGCGUAAGAGAUUUUAAAGUUUUAUUCUAAACGAUGGAAGCUUCAGUAAAUCAAACGUUCAAGGAUCAUACGAGUUCGUUUGAGGGAAACAGGGAGACGCUGACGAAAAUACUUCAUCACUGCAGCACUCGAUUGUGUGAACUAAUUCAGCAGAUAAAUGUCCUCCCACACACACACACACACACACACACACACACACACACACACUACAUAAUAAUAAUAAUAUCAAUAAUAACGCAUUCGCAGUUUUCUGCCCACAAUCAUUCCCCCGAUUGACGUGUUCAUCCGUUAAUCUCAUUACAUGUGUGUGAUUGUUUUUUUAUUGACACACGCGGUUCUCUGUCCGUCCUCUGAAUGGUGCGUUCAUGAAUCGAAAUGAGUUUAUAUCUGUUGUGAGCUAAAAGACUAAAGAGCAGGUGAAGGUGCGUUAAAAAAACGUUUUCCUUACUUUGUCUUUUGUCCCUUUUAUGUUGUUGCCCCACCCCCCUUAACUCUCCCCCCUUAGCCUCCACCUCGCUCCACGCUGGCACAUCCAACCUUCCCUUGAAUGCCACUGGGGGUGGGGGGACGUGGGGGGGACGUGGGAGGUGGGGGGCAAGUGACGGUGCAUGAUGACAGAGCCGUGUGACGGGGUCACAGCCACAGCCUCGCCUCUGCAGAGGAGCGCUUAAUACAUCAUCCCCCGGACAACGGGUGACACCCCCCCCCCCCGGAAGACGGAGUGCCCGGUGCCGAGCUCUCGCAGCCCUGAGACAUUCCUCCUUAUUUUAUUUAUUUUUGCGUCAGGCCGUCUAAUAAAGCGGGGGCGGGAUGGAGGGACGGCGUAUCGGAGCCGAGGGAGGAUGAAGCAUCUCGCACUGAUGUAAUAUGGCUUAUAAAUCUAAUUUAAUUACCCAGCGUGGGGACAGGCCGGAGAAGCCAUGACUGGAUUUAUUGUGUCUUAACUUGGCAUCUUAACGACUUUGUGCUUUUAAUAUCAUUACCCUGUAAUUUAUUCUCUUUCGUGCACACACACACACACACACACACACACACACACAGUGCAGUGAUAAUCUUUUUAAGCAGGCAGCUUUACGGAUCGUAGGACUCCAGAGCUGUGACAGCUAUUGAUCCAUAAACUCCCGCUUUGACUCGUCCCACGCCGUCCCCCCCAGCCAUCAAGGUGAAGUCGCCGCGGCGGGCUCCUUUUAACGCUUACAGCUACAUUUCCCCACCGAUGUGGAAUCAACCAGCUUAUUGCGAAGAGGGCGAGUUAAAGUGCAAAAAAAAAGGGUUGAUUGACACUUCAGACCAUUUUUAACCGCUUGCAAUUGUCACUAAAUUUCUUUUUAAAGUGUCCGUGAAACUUUGCA